Molecule: ribosomal RNA, 253 nt
Filed under: uncultured bacterium
Lineage: Bacteria
Description: partial 16S ribosomal RNA
Rfam family: Bacterial small subunit ribosomal RNA
Source: RNAcentral
CACGUAGGGCGCAAGCGUUGUCCGGAAUUAUUGGGCGUAAAGAGCUUGUAGGCGGUUUGUCGCGUCUGCUGUGAAAUUUCGGGGCUCAACCCCGAACUUGCAGUGGGUACGGGCAGGCUAGAGUGUGGUAGGGGAGACUGGAAUUCCUGGUGUAGCGGUGAAAUGCGCAGAUAUCAGGAGGAACACCGAUGGCGAAGGCAGGUCUCUGGGCCACUACUGACGCUGAGAAGCGAAAGCAUGGGGAGCGAACAGG